CUGGGCAUCAAUCUAUGCACAACAAGCUCUUCAAUGCUUGAUGACAAAUAAAGGUUGCAUCUUAGAUAGUUGCUUGAUUUGAAUGAGCCAUUUUGCUGCCAGCUAAACUGUUAAAAGUCAGAUGUAAGAUUAUGUUUCUUGGCACAUGAGUUAUUUUUCAGUAAACGCGUGGCCAGUCCACUUCGAACUGAUAUAUGCACUUUUUAUUUGAAACUGAACCACCAUGGUUUAAUUUUAUUUUCAUUUGGACAAGUUACCCCAAGUAUCAUCAGUUCAUGAUGACUGGUUUGGUGUGGUGAAUUGAUCCUGGUGCUGAUUUAAGAGUUUUUUUAUGACACUGUCUUGUAAGGGGGUAAGGUCUGGUAUCUAUAUGGCUAUUAUUUAUCUCUUACGGAUUGCCAUGUAUGACAUGCUAAUUGUUUUUAGCUCUUGAUAUAGUUAAACUUUUUUUUCGAAACGAAGGCAAAAUAUUUGCCUCAUCCAUUAAAUGGGAGGAGAAUAGAGUUAAACUUUGGAUGCACCAGUGCCUGAUGCAUAUGUUUGUUUACUUGGUUUGAACUCUGAAUGAUAUGUUGUUAUCCUAAUUGCAUGCCUGAUGAGUUGGUUCUGCUGGUAUUUUGAGGAGGCAAGCUGUGGUUUUACUCCUGGCCCUGAGAAGGGUGAACUAGGCCAUAGCGAGGGCGCCUUCAGGAACAUCGAGUUAGGGUGCCUCACUUUCUAUUUCAGUUUGCGAGGUAAUGAAGGCAAAAAAAAGUUUCUACUCGCCCUGUUCUUGCAACUAAACAGAGAAAAACUGUGUGGUUACUGAAGCAAUAUGGUUUGUAGUUACCGAAGCAUUGCAUUUGUUGAGAAAGUGUUCCUUAUACCAUGUAAGUAGGGACAAUUACUAUUUAACUAGGUACAAUUAAUAUUUAACAAGCCACAAUUGAUCAAGCAGUCAAUGCUUAAAUAUGCCCGUACUCUGUCGUAUCCAGGAUGGAGCUUUGCUAGCUUUUGAGUUGGAUUCUCUUUCGACUACACCUAAAUAUGACAAACCAACAGUAAAUGAGCUCAUUUUAAAAAACUGCAGUUUAAAGGAAAUUAUUACAAUAUACUUGCUAGACCUUCUCAUUACACUCUUUCACUUUUUUGGCCUAAUACUAUCCUGUAUAGACCUAAUAACAGAAGACAUGGGAAAUGCUUUCGUAACAUAAUGUUCUUUUUGUUAGAUGCUCUGUUUAUUUAGUGUCGUUGAUCCAAAAACUUGAAAGUGUAGAAAUGUAACUGCAUGGGACUAUAGAACCAAGUAUUUCUCGAUUUGGUGAUGCUUUAUUCAGAGUUCUUGUGCAUCAGAUUGGAGUGUUACCACAAACCUGUUAUUUAUUUCACUUCAUGUGAGUUAAUGCCAAGGCCUUUUUUGUGUCCCCUCUAAUCAUUGCAUUUGUAUCUUGAUCAUUGUAUUAACGAAAAGCAAAAUAUUUCUCAUGUUUUGCUCAGUGUGUCUACUUCUCUUCUUUAUUAUAUUAACUAUUUUUGGAUGAUAUUUCACAAGAAUGACAUUGUUAGAUUUAGAUUCGUUAGGUUUCAACGCAUUUGAAUAUGACAGUUAUAUGCCUAUGCCUCUGUGCAAGUUUUACCCAAUGGUACAUCAGUGUUUCACUAUGAACGACUUCACUGAUUGUUAGGAAUAUUUCUUAUUUCACACUGAAGUGUUUAUCAGUAUGUUGGAAGAACAUCAUAGCCAAUCAGAGAAUGCAGGUGCUAGAUGUGCUAUAAUUACUCAUAUGUUGGCUGUUGAUAUAUGAGCUUUGAUGAACCUAGCUUCAGGAAAGUCGUUCUAUGCAUUCCAAUCCAAAAAUAACUUCAGAAAACUGAUUUUCAUUUCUGAACAUUAUUCCGUUAUCGUGGAUAUUUCCACUCUGUUUCAUGUGUGAUUAACAUUUUUAGUUUGCUAUUUCAUUACUAACUCCACAUAGACAGUAGACUGGUAGAUAGUCACUCAGAGUGUUUGAUCCUCCUAAUCACAUCAUAUCCGUCUCUACCUGCGGCUUUGGACAAAAACGUCCAUGCUCAAUACAGCUGGUUCCCCCAAGUUCAGCAGUGACCGUAUGAUACACCAGUACGCAAAAGAUAUAUGGGAUAUCAUCCCCGUCAUCAUGCUCUGAAUAAUUUAAGCAGUUUACAGAAACCUUGAGUCUGUGAGGCGCAAUCAGUCACAGAUUUGCCUCGACUCCUCAUUGGGAAGGUGUUGCUGCCCCAGCUUUGUGUAGGAACAUGCAAGUUCUGACAUGGACCUGAGAGCUGAGAGCAUGUAGUUUCGUCACUCACUCGCUGAUGGUUAUAUUAAAUCAAACCAAUUUGUGUCAAGCAUCUCUAUGAACAGGGAACAUUUUUUUGGUAGAAAUUCCAGAUGAACUUGAUAAGAGAGCAACAUCAGGAUUUUAUGUUUGGAACUAUUGAAAUUAUUUUGCCUUCUCUACUGAUGGCGCAAAGAACAUGAAGAAUACGAGAUAUAAUAGAUAGAGCAAUGAAUCUUAUCACCAAAAGAUUACAGAGGACAGUUAUCCCACAUUUUGGCAUGGUGAUGUUACCGGACGGUGUUCUUCCAUGCUAACUAUAAUGCACCCACAUUUUGUGGCGACAGAGCUAGGACAUACUAUAAAUCUAUGAUAGAUGCAGAAACGUGUUCUUCUAUAAGCAUGUGCUUGUAACAUGGGCAUACUAAUAAUUCCAUCAUGCUCCCUUCUCUCUCGCUCUUCUUUUGAAAUCCCAUUAUAUGAAUAAUAACAUGAAAAGAAUGGGCGUUUUCCAGAGCUUGGCCUAAUUUAAUAUGUUCUUAUGGUACUACAAAAAUGUUAAUAUGUUACUACAAUGUAUUUUCCAGAAAUCUCAUUGUUCAUUUACUGAAUAAUACUAAUUGCUAUCAUUUUAUUUUUCAGGAUACCUCUAAUUAUUUUUAAUGUGAUAUGUUUCAUUGCAGGGUGAUACGUAUGAAGGAAAAGAGCCAGAGCGGCGCUUGGAUAAAAGUCAGUGCUGGAAUUUGUUUGGCAUAUGCGGAAAUCUUGGUAAAGGAUAAGGACGCACACGGCGGUGAGGUUAGUAGGGGCGUAACAAACGAGAAGGGCGGGCGUGGCAAUGGCCAUUCAUGUGUCAGACGAAAAUUGUACACCCACAUGUGUGACGAGGCUGGACUUGACAUAUGCAUCAACGAGCAUGGUGAUGAGGUGAGAGUUGGAAGCGCGGAUGUACUUGACAAGGAGCAAGUAGAUGCGAGCAAGCAUGGUGGGCAAUGUCGACGAUGUUCACGCGAAUGAGAAGACCAAAGAGGAAGGUGAUGCAUGCCUGUGCAUAUUUGUGGUGGAAUGGACAGUUUGUGGGUAAUUAGCCAGUGUCUUUGGACAGGUUGUCGACAGAUAAAAGUUCUAUAGUUUGGCUUGAGGAGUAACAUAGACAGGCAUGCUGGUGCUAUAAGGCUAUAUCUCUCUUCGUGGACAAGAGCAUACAAUGCUUCAAGUUUCAUGGAAGUUUUUAAAUUCCAUUAUGAGGCUCAAUCUGAAAUAAAAUGGUGUCUUGCUUUACCAAACUCUUGAUGCGUCCGUGUUUCAACUUGUUAUGUUGUCCUUACCCUAACUUUUUCAUUCUUAGUUGUAAGAUACUACAUAUAUCUAAUGAUCCUCUGAGAAAGUAAUGAUCCUAUGGGAAAGGAACCCACAAAUUAUGUGGUUAGUGCU
Molecule: long non-coding RNA, 3710 nt
Organism: Triticum aestivum (bread wheat)
Lineage: Eukaryota; Viridiplantae; Streptophyta; Magnoliopsida; Poales; Poaceae
Exons: 2
Source: RefSeq, a predicted model, not a curated record